Molecule: ribosomal RNA, 498 nt
Filed under: uncultured bacterium
Lineage: Bacteria
Description: bacterial SSU rRNA
Rfam family: Bacterial small subunit ribosomal RNA
Source: RNAcentral
CUGGCUCAGGACGAACGCUGGCGGCAUGCCUAACACAUGCAAGUCGAACGGACAUAACCAAGUUAUAGCGAUAUAAUGCGGGUAUGUUAGUGGCGAACGGGUGAGUAACACGUGAGCAACCUGCCCUGUACAACGGGAUAACAGUUGGAAACGACUGCUAAUACGGUAUAAGACCACACUGCGGCAUCGCAGAGGGGUAAAAGUGAAUUAGCGGUACAGGAUGGGCUCGCGUCCAAUUAGCUAGUUGGUGAGGUAACGGCUCACAAAGGCGACGAUUGGUAGCCGACCUGAGAGGGUGAUCGGCCACACUGGAACUGAGACACGGUCCAGACUCCUACGGGAGGCAGCAGUGGGGAAUAUUGGGCAAUGGAGGAAACUCUUACCCAGCAAUGCCGCGUGAAGGAAGAAGGUCUUCGGAUUGUAAACUUCUUUUAUUGGGGACGAAUAAAUGACGGUACCCGAUGAAUAAGCCCCGGCUAACUAUGUGCCAGCCGCCGC